CCCAGGCGCACCCAGAAACCCUUUGUGAACUUAUACCUUUUGUUGCCUCGGCGCUGCUGGUCUCUAGUAGGCCCCUCACUUCGGUGAGGAAAAGGCACGCCGGCGGCCAAAUCAACUCUGUUUUUACACUGAAACUCUGAGAAAAAACACAAAUGAAUCAAAACUUUCAACAACGGAUCUCUUGGUUCUGGCAUCGAUGAAGAACGCAGCGAAAUGCGAUAAGUAAUGUGAAUUGCAGAAUUCAGUGAAUCAUCGAAUCUUUGAACGCACAUUGCGCCCUCUGGUAUUCCGGAGGGCAUGCCUGUUCGAGCGUCAUUUCAACCCUCAAGCAUUGCUUGGUGUUGGGGCACUGCUUCUAACGAAGCAGGCCCUGAAAUCUAGUGGCGAGCUCGCCAGGACCCCGAGCGCAGUAGUUAAACCCUCGCUCUGGAAGGCCCUGGCGGUGCCCUGCCGUUAAACCCCCAACUUCUGAAAAUUUGACCUCGGAUCAGGUAGGAAUACCCGCUGAACUUAAGCAUAUCAAUAAGCGGAGGAAAAGAAACCAACAGGGAUUGCCCUAGUAACGGCGAGUGAAGCGGCAACAGCUCAAAUUUGAAAUCUGGCCUCGGCCCGAGUUGUAAUUUGCAGAGGAUGCUUCUGGCGCGGUGCCUUCCGAGUUCCCUGGAACGGGACGCCACAGAGGGUGAGAGCCCCGUAUGGUCGGACACCAAGCCUGUGUGAAGCUCCUUCGACGAGUCGAGUAGUU
Molecule: ribosomal RNA, 745 nt
Filed under: fungal endophyte
Lineage: Eukaryota; Fungi
Description: eukaryotic LSU rRNA
Rfam family: Eukaryotic large subunit ribosomal RNA (bases 478-745)
Source: RNAcentral